RNAcentral lists this ribosomal RNA (253 nucleotides) under uncultured bacterium. RNAcentral describes it as "partial 16S ribosomal RNA". It matches the Rfam family "Bacterial small subunit ribosomal RNA", at positions 524 to 776 of the family's 1533-position model. The record is from RNAcentral.
GACGGGGGAUGCAAGCGUUAUCCGGAAUCACUGGGCGUAAAGCGUCUGUAGGUGGUGAUGCAAGUCACUGGUGCAAAACUCUGGCUCAACCGGAGGAAAGCCAGUGAAACUGCAUGACUAGAGUGUGGGAGAGGUAGAAGGAAUUCCCGUAGUAGCGGUGAAAUGCGUAGAUACAGGGAAGAACACCGGAGGCGAAAGCGUUCUACUGGAACACAACUGACACUGAGAGACGAAAGCUAGGGGAGCGAAUUUU